GUGCUCGCUUCGACAGCACAUAUACUAAAAAUGGAAUGGUACAGAGAAGUUUAGCACGACCCCCGCACAAGGAUGAUUCUCAAAUUAAUGAAGAAUUCCAUCAUUGG
This is a small nuclear RNA of Octodon degus (degu), 107 nucleotides long. Lineage: Eukaryota; Metazoa; Chordata; Mammalia; Rodentia; Octodontidae. The record is from Ensembl.